This 171-nucleotide non-coding RNA is filed under the name Desulfuribacillus alkaliarsenatis. Lineage: Bacteria; Bacillati; Bacillota; Desulfuribacillia; Desulfuribacillales; Desulfuribacillaceae. The record is from RNAcentral.
AACUACCAAAUAGUUAUAGGUGCCCAUAAUUGGGUUAAAAGGGAAUCAGGAAAGCCUGAGCGGUCCCGCCACUGUAACCAGCUACGAACCAUACGUAACCACCAUGAAUUGGGAAGGGUAUGGGGAGGAUGAUCUGGAAGCCAGGAAACCUGCCUGUAAUGAGUAGCUGGA